This 574-nucleotide ribosomal RNA is filed under the name Holtermanniella wattica. RNAcentral describes it as "partial large subunit ribosomal RNA". It matches the Rfam family "Eukaryotic large subunit ribosomal RNA", at positions 37 to 615 of the family's 3401-position model. The record is from RNAcentral. Lineage: Eukaryota; Fungi; Basidiomycota; Tremellomycetes; Holtermanniales.
AGCAUAUCAAUAAGCGGAGGAAAAGAAACUAACAAGGAUUCCCCUAGUAACGGCGAGUGAAGCGGGAUGAGCUCAAAUUUGUAAUCUGGUGGACUCAGUUCAUCCGAGUUGUAAUCUAUAGAAGUGUUUUCCGCGCUGGACCGUGUCUAAGUCCCUUGGAACAGGGUGUCAGAGAGGGUGAGAAUCCCGUGCUUGAUACGACCACCAGUGCUAUGUGAUACACUUUCAACGAGUCGAGUUGUUUGGGAAUGCAGCUCAAAAUGGGUGGUAAAUUCCAUCUAAAGCUAAAUAUUGGCGAGAGACCGAUAGCGAACAAGUACCGUGAGGGAAAGAUGAAAAGCACUUUGGAAAGAGAGUUAAACAGUACGUGAAAUUGUUAAAAGGGAAACGAUUGAAGUCAGUCGUGCUCUCUGGGACUCAGCCGGUUCUUCCGGUGUACUUCCCAGUGAGCGGGUCAACAUCAGUUUAGAUCGCUGGAUAAAGGUAUUAGGAAGGUGGCUCCCUCGGGAGUGUUAUAGCCUAGUAUCGCAUACAGUGGUUUAGACUGAGGAACGCAGCUCGCCUUUAUGGCCGG